RNAcentral lists this ribosomal RNA (777 nucleotides) under Staphylococcus warneri. RNAcentral describes it as "bacterial SSU rRNA". It matches the Rfam family "Bacterial small subunit ribosomal RNA", at positions 111 to 874 of the family's 1533-position model. The record is from RNAcentral. Lineage: Bacteria; Bacillati; Bacillota; Bacilli; Caryophanales; Staphylococcaceae.
UAACACGUGGAUAACCUACCUAUAAGACUGGGAUAACUUCGGGAAACCGGAGCUAAUACCGGAUAACAUAUUGAACCGCAUGGUUCAAUAGUGAAAGGCGGCUUUGCUGUCACUUAUAGAUGGAUCCGCGCCGUAUUAGCUAGUUGGUAAGGUAACGGCUUACCAAGGCAACGAUACGUAGCCGACCUGAGAGGGUGAUCGGCCACACUGGAACUGAGACACGGUCCAGACUCCUACGGGAGGCAGCAGUAGGGAAUCUUCCGCAAUGGGCGAAAGCCUGACGGAGCAACGCCGCGUGAGUGAUGAAGGUCUUCGGAUCGUAAAACUCUGUUAUCAGGGAAGAACAAAUGUGUAAGUAACUGUGCACAUCUUGACGGUACCUGAUCAGAAAGCCACGGCUAACUACGUGCCAGCAGCCGCGGUAAUACGUAGGUGGCAAGCGUUAUCCGGAAUUAUUGGGCGUAAAGCGCGCGUAGGCGGUUUUUUAAGUCUGAUGUGAAAGCCCACGGCUCAACCGUGGAGGGUCAUUGGAAACUGGAAAACUUGAGUGCAGAAGAGGAAAGUGGAAUUCCAUGUGUAGCGGUGAAAUGCGCAGAGAUAUGGAGGAACACCAGUGGCGAAGGCGACUUUCUGGUCUGUAACUGACGCUGAUGUGCGAAAGCGUGGGGAUCAAACAGGAUUAGAUACCCUGGUAGUCCACGCCGUAAACGAUGAGUGCUAAGUGUUAGGGGGUUUCCGCCCCUUAGUGCUGCAGCUAACGCAUUAAGCACUCCGCCU